Molecule: ribosomal RNA, 439 nt
Filed under: uncultured bacterium
Lineage: Bacteria
Description: partial 16S ribosomal RNA
Rfam family: Bacterial small subunit ribosomal RNA
Source: RNAcentral
CCUACGGGCGGCAGCAGUGGGGAAUAUUGCACAAUGGGCGAAAGCCUGAUGCAGCAACGCCGCGUGAGUGAUGAAGGCCUUCGGGUCGUAAAGCUCUUUCCUCAAGGAAGAAAAUGACUGUACUUGAGGAGGAAGCCCCGGCUAACUACGUGCCAGCAGCCGCGGUAAUACGUAGGGGGCUAGCGUUAUCCGGAAUUACUGGGCGUAAAGGGGGCGUAGGGGGGUUCGUAAGUCUGAGGUGAAAGGCUACGGCUCAACCGUAGUACGCCAUUGAAACUGGGGAACUUGAGUGCAGGAAAGGAGAGUGGAAUGCCUAGUGUAGCGGUGAAAUGCGUAGAUAUUAGGAGGAACACCAGUUGCGAAGGCGGCUCUCUGGACUGUAACUGACACUGAGGCACGAAAGCGUGGGGAGCAAACAGGAUUAGAUACCCGAGUAGUC